GAAUGUCUAAGUCAUUUGAUUCUAGGAGAUUCUGAAAUGCUUUUCCUUGUUGAGACCUGGGUCCCUCUCGGCCUCGGUCCUAGCCCCUGGCCUCUGCCUGGCUCACUGUUCUCUCUUGACCUGCAGCCCAGCACGGCUCCGCCCAAGCCCAAGCCACCCCCACUGACCAAGGAGACGGUGGUGUUCUGGGACAUGCGACUGUGGCACGUGGUUGGCAUCUUCUCGCUCUUCGUGUUGUCCAUCAUUAUCACUCUUUGCUGUGUCUUCAACUGCCGUGUGCCACGGACCCGGAAGGAGAUUGAAGCCCGGUACCUGCAGCGAAAGGCAGCCAAGAUGUACACAGACAAACUGGAGACUGUGCCACCCCUCAACGAGCUCACGGAAGUCCCCGGAGAGGAUAAGAAGAAGAAGAAGAAAGACAGUGUGGAUACAGUGGCCAUCAAGGUAGAGGAGGAUGAGAAGAAUGAGGCCAAGAAAAAGAAAGGAGAGAAAUGAGAGAUUCCCCAUUUCUGGAAGCUCUGGAAGCUGGCCGGCCCUGGGGCUCAUAGUCCUGGCCAGGGUCCAGACAUCUUAGACUCUAAGCUCAUACAUGGACCAGAGGUGGCAGAACAUCCUCUCCCUGCUCAGAGGGGGUUGCUGAGGCCCAGGACAGGGGACCUAUCCGGGCAGAGACAAGACUACAUCAGCAACCCGAGAGGAGUGGUGCAGCCCCCUUUUGCCUCCAGUGCUCAGGCCAGGGCCUGGCUUCAAAGAGUGUCAAGCUGUUGGUUGAAUGAAGGAAGGAAGGAAUAAGUGAAGCAAAGGGUGUGGAACAAAAGAAUAUGGACCUUCUUUCCGUGGAUAGAAGGAGGCCUAGACAGUGGGUUGCAAGCCUCCGCUUCUGAUCUGUGGAACGACUGCACAGGACUGGGGGGCCAGGAGAGGGGAGCAAGUUUCCGGCUCCCAGCAAGGAAUGUGCAGGGCUCAGCCCCCAACUGCUUGGAGCUGGGGUGAGGGGGGCUGGGACUAUGGGGUUCUGCAGAGGACUGAUAGGCCAGCCGGCAGGAUGACUGGGGCCCCAGUGGCUCCAAAUGUCUUUCCAGCCACCCAUCUAGGCCCCGACUCACUGGGUCAUGCAGUGGGCCACGGUCAGCACCCAGUGGGAGGCAAUGAGGGUGCCUGCACAGACGUGUAUGCCAUUGGCCCGCACACUGACCAUCCAUGGCCACCGCCGAGCCAUGGCCUCCGGAUCCCUGAGGGUGGGGUCCAACUCAUAGGAGAAGCCACAGGCUGAGGAGGAAAGCAAAAGGAGUCUGAUGAGGAAUGGGCCUUUCCAGCCACACUCCAUAGCACCUCUCCCUCCUCCCCUCCCCCUCAGCCCAAUCUCCCACCUAGCUAGCCACUGGCCCGCACCCAUCCAGUGAUUCUCCCUCACCACUGGUCAUCACAUAAUGAUGCUGUCCAUGUGAGGAUGGGGGUCUCCAGCCUCGGAAGGGCCUCAGCACUCCCCAGGUAUCCUUCUCUCCCUGAUCCCACAGACCAGGCCUCAGGGCCUUCCCAGUAGACCAGCCUGGUGUGCCACUGGCCCCUGUGUCCUGGCUGAGCAGAUCUCAACUUUGGCCAGGCCCCUCACAAACUCAUCUGUGUUUCCAUCUGGUUCCCCUACUUCAGCCAACGCAGAUCCCUCCCCCUCUAAGAUCCUCCUCCUCAGUGAAAGGAAAGGCAGAUGACCUAAGAGGGAAAACUGGGCAAUGUGCACAAACACACACCUCUAAGGAUGAAACCCUAGCAGCAAAUGAACACAGAAAAUGCUCAGCCCCGUUAGUCCUCGGGGAAGUACGGACUCAAAUCACAGUGAGGUUCUGCUCACCGCCACCUGCCAGGUGAAAUUAAAUGUCCCUGAUACCAAGUGUUGGUGAGGAUCACGGCCCCAGACUGCUCACUCACUGCUGGUGGGAGUGUCAAUGGGUGCAGCCACUUUGGAAAAGCUUUUAUGGAAACGUUAUUUAAACUGAAGAUGCACAUAUACAACGUCACAGCAGCCCCACUCCUAGGUGUUGCAAAUGGAUUAGCGGAUUGUGAGAUCAGUAGCACCAGGGGCACCACGACUAGCAGCUGUAAAGGCUAACACGGGAGAGGGAACAGCAGCACACACAGCAGAGUGAUGCUGGGUUGUGUGUGAGAGACUUUCUGGGGCAGUUAAAUUGUGUGCACUUAGUUCCAGGAUGAGAAAUAUUUAUGUGGACCUUACUUAAACAUGCGUUAAAGCCACUGCUGGAGAGAACAUCUUGUGGGUGUGCCCCCGAGACACCCAAAGGGAAGGCUCCCUGAAAGCUAUGCUGGAGAUCCCCAAAGGCCUUGGCUGGGAGCCUGGGUCAGGGCCUGGCGCGUGCUGAGAGGCGCCGGCCCCACAGGCCAUUCAGGGAGGCAGGACCAUGCGGCCCACCCCAGGCUCCUUCCACCUUCCUUGCCUCCUAACUCACCAGGAUGAGAGGCCUGGCCCACAAAGGUACUCUUAAACACUGGUAAAAGGAAGGUCUCCUCUCACUCUCCCUGCCCCCUCUUCCUCCGUCCCUUAAGAGCCUCAGGACUGCUUGGGCACCUUCCUCCCGCGUGGAGGGCACAGUACUCACCAGGAAGUAAGUCGUCGUCAGCAGCUUUAGAAGCACUGU
RNA transcript from Camelus dromedarius (Arabian camel), 2651 nucleotides. It is a transcript of the gene named transmembrane inner ear, with no coding region annotated. NCBI's taxonomy places the organism in Eukaryota, Metazoa, Chordata, Mammalia, Artiodactyla, Camelidae. The transcript is spliced from 4 exons. The record is from RefSeq and is a predicted model, not a curated record.